AUUGAACGCUGGCGGAAUGCUUUACACAUGCAAGUCGAACGGCAGCACGGGGCAACCUGGUGGCGAGUGGCGAACGGGUGAGUAAUACAUCGGAACGUGCCCAAUCGUGGGGGAUAACGUAGCGAAAGUUACGCUAAUACCGCAUACGAUCUACGGAUGAAAGCGGGGGAUCGCAAGACCUCGCGCGAAUGGAGCGGCCGAUGUCAGAUUAGGUAGUUGGUGGGGUAAAGGCUCACCAAGCCAACGAUCUGUAGCUGGUCUGAGAGGACGACCAGCCACACUGGAACUGAGACACGGUCCAGACUCCUACGGGAGGCAGCAGUGGGGAAUUUUGGACAAUGGGCGCAAGCCUGAUCCAGCCAUUCCGCGUGCAGGAUGAAGGCCUUCGGUUGUAACUAGCUUUGUACGGUAACGAAACGGUACUGCCUAAUACGGCGGGCUAAUGACGGUACCGUAAGAAUAAGACACCGGCUAACUACGUAGCCAGCAGCCGCGGU
This 497-nucleotide ribosomal RNA is filed under the name uncultured bacterium. RNAcentral describes it as "bacterial SSU rRNA". It matches the Rfam family "Bacterial small subunit ribosomal RNA", at positions 30 to 521 of the family's 1533-position model. The record is from RNAcentral.